CCACACUGCCCCGUACUGUCCCAUACUGGUCCAUACUGGUCCAUACUGGUCCUUACUAUCCUGUACUGUCCCAUACUGGUCCAUACUGGUCUGUACUGGUCUGUACUGUCCCAUACUUGUCUCUUACUGUCCCAUACUGGUGUGUACUGGUCCCAUACUGGUCCAUACUGGUCCGUACUGGUCCAUACUCACGCAGGCAGCGGUCGCAGCGUCCCGCUCCGUGGCGCUGGCAGGAGCUGUGAGCGUGGCAGCCGCACGGCACCAACCACUGGGACACACUGGUCCUUACUGGUCCCAUACUGGU
RNAcentral lists this long non-coding RNA (304 nucleotides) under Numida meleagris (helmeted guineafowl). Its description in RNAcentral is "lncRNA (ENSNMEG00000000506.1)". Lineage: Eukaryota; Metazoa; Chordata; Aves; Galliformes; Numididae. The record is from RNAcentral.